Molecule: ribosomal RNA, 254 nt
Filed under: uncultured bacterium
Lineage: Bacteria
Description: partial 16S ribosomal RNA
Rfam family: Bacterial small subunit ribosomal RNA
Source: RNAcentral
UACGUAGGGUGCAAGCAUUAAUCGGAGUUAUUGGGCGUAAAGGGCGCGUAGGCGGUUUUGUAAGUCUCGAUGUGAAAUUCCUGGGCUCAACCUAGGAGCUGCAUGGGAAACUACAAAACUCGAGGAUGGACGGAGAGAACGGAAUUCCACAAGUAGCGGUGAAAUGCGUAGAUAUGUGGAAGAACACCUGUGGCGAAGGCGGUUCUCUAGUUUAUUCCUGACGCUGAGGCGCGAAAGCAAGGGGAGCAAACAGG